UUGAUUUUAGUUAUUUGUGAACGUACUACGAACAAACGAAAAAAUAUUAUAGUCAAAAAAAAUUAAAUCA
Molecule: unclassified non-coding RNA, 70 nt
Filed under: soil metagenome
Description: partial internal transcribed spacer 1
Source: RNAcentral